Molecule: transfer RNA, 74 nt
Filed under: Aspergillus udagawae
Lineage: Eukaryota; Fungi; Ascomycota; Eurotiomycetes; Eurotiales; Aspergillaceae
Also listed under: 1 other name
Description: tRNA-Phe
Rfam family: tRNA
About the family: Transfer RNA (tRNA) molecules are approximately 80 nucleotides in length. Their secondary structure includes four short double-helical elements and three loops (D, anti-codon, and T loops). Further hydrogen bonds mediate the characteristic L-shaped molecular structure. tRNAs have two regions of fundamental functional importance: the anti-codon, which is responsible for specific mRNA codon recognition, and the 3' end, to which the tRNAs corresponding amino acid is attached (by aminoacyl-tRNA synthetases). tRNAs cope with the degeneracy of the genetic code in two manners: having more than one tRNA (with a specific anti-codon) for a particular amino acid; and 'wobble' base-pairing, i.e. permitting non-standard base-pairing at the 3rd anti-codon position.
Source: RNAcentral
GGGGUGAUAGCUCAGCUGGGAGUAGCGUACGACUGAAGAUCGUAAGGUCGCCGGUUCAAUCCCGGCUCACCCCA